UUCUUUCCAUCUUAGUGGCGGACGGGUGAGUAACGUGUGGGCAACCUGCCCUGUACUGGGGAAUAAUCAUUGGAAACGAUGACUAAUACCGCAUGUGGUUCUCGGAAGGCAUCUUCUGAGGAAGAAAGGAUUUAUUCGGUACAGGAUGGGCCCGCAUCUGAUUAGCUAGUUGGUGAGAUAACAGCCCACCAAGGCGACGAUCAGUAGCCGACCUGAGAGGGUGAUCGGCCACAUUGGGACUGAGACACGGCCCAAACUCCUACGGGAGGCAGCAGUGGGGAAUAUUGCACAAUGGGCGAAAGCCUGAUGCAGCAACGCCGCGUGAAGGAUGAAGGGUUUCGGCUCGUAAACUUCUAUCAAUAGGGAAGAAACAAAUGACGGUACCUAAAUAAGAAGCCCCGGCUAACUACGUGCCAGCAGCCGCGGUAAUACGUAGGGGGCAAGCGUUAUCCGGAAUUACUGGGUGUAAAGGGAGCGUAGGCGGCAUGGUAAGCCAGAUGUGAAAGCCUUGGGCUUAACCCGAGGAUUGCAUUUGGAACUAUCAAGCUAGAGUACAGGAGAGGAAAGCGGAAUUCCUAGUGUAGUGGUGAAAUGCGUAGAUAUUAGGAAGAACACCAGUGGCGAAGGCGGCUUUCUGGACUGAAACUG
This 648-nucleotide ribosomal RNA is filed under the name uncultured Lachnospiraceae bacterium. RNAcentral's name for it is "bacterial SSU rRNA". It matches the Rfam family "Bacterial small subunit ribosomal RNA", at positions 81 to 742 of the family's 1533-position model. The record is from RNAcentral. Lineage: Bacteria; Bacillati; Bacillota; Clostridia; Lachnospirales; Lachnospiraceae.